GAUGAAGAACGCAGCGAAAUGCGAUAAGUAAUGUGAAUUGCAGAAUUCAGUGAAUCAUCGAAUCUUUGAACGCACAUUGCGCCCGCCAGUAUUCUGGCGGGCAUGCCUGUUCGAGCGUCAUUUCAACCAUCAAGCCCCCGGCUUGUGUUGGGGACCUGCGGCUGCCGCAGGCCCUGAAAACCAGUGGCGGGCUCGCUAGUCACUCCGAGCGUAGUAGUUACAUCUCGCUCAGGGCGUGCUGCGGGUUCCGGCCGUUAAAAGCCUUAUUUACCCAAGGUUGACCUCGGAUCAGGUAGGAAGACCCGCUGAACUUAAGCAUAUCAAUAAGGGAGGA
This 334-nucleotide unclassified non-coding RNA is filed under the name soil metagenome. RNAcentral describes it as "partial contains 5.8S ribosomal RNA, internal transcribed spacer 2, and large subunit ribosomal RNA". The stretch from base 1 to 120 matches the Rfam family "5.8S ribosomal RNA", at positions 35 to 154 of the family's 154-position model. The record is from RNAcentral.